Long non-coding RNA from Fukomys damarensis (Damara mole-rat), 873 nucleotides. RefSeq lists it as uncharacterized. The transcript has 3 exons. The record is from RefSeq and is a predicted model, not a curated record. NCBI's taxonomy places the organism in Eukaryota, Metazoa, Chordata, Mammalia, Rodentia, Bathyergidae.
GACUGCCUCUGUCUGAAUCCUGUCGUGCUCCGUGCCUGUGCUACUAGGUGGCUCCUCGUAGAUGAGAUUUUAGGCUGGCUUUUCUGUCCAGAUAUGCACAGUUCCGUGAUGAAGUAGUCCGGUGGCCACCUGUUUCCAGCUGAGACAGGCUCCAACCAAAGGAGGAAUUGUCGCACAUCUGCGGUGGUGCAGGGAGGAGCAGAGGAACUUCUGUCUACUGAAGGCAAGAAUGGAUUUAUUCAAAGUAAAAGCAAGAGACCACACGAACUAGGACUGACAGAAGCCGCGAGAGCUGGGAGCGCCUGAUCCGAACCUGAGCUGGAUGUGAGACAGGAGGUGAAUGCUGUGAGUUCCCCCUUCUCUACCAGGUCACCCCACGCGGGCUCCAGCCCCACCCGUGACUUUUCCCUUCCCUGGACCACCCAAUUCUGGAGGUUUGUAAGCUUCCAACUCCACAGCGCGCUCCUCCAAGUCGAGUUUUGGCUCCCCGAAGGGUCUACGUGGUGCCCAAGUUCUCGAUGCCCCCUCAGUCUCGUGAAUUCCACCUGAUGGCUGCAUUUUACCAGAUCUGGAUGCGGUCGCGGCCCGAGAUAAGCAUGGAGUUAACUCGUGCCUGAUCUCGCUGUUACAAUCCUUUUAUUUUCUUUCUGAUUCUGCCACCCUCCCAGCCCCUCCCUGGGGACAGCUUGUCGUGAGGUCACUAACAGAGUCUCGCUCCAUUCUACGGCCCCCUUCAGUGUUCUCGGGGCGCUAGAUCUCCUGGGAUGGGGCCACCAAGAUACGGCUUCCCAGACCGCGGUGUAGGCCACCCCUGCCUGUCCCAUCUCUUCUUCGCUAAACUGGCAGAAUGCUCAGGAAGUUUGUUUUCGUUGU